RNAcentral lists this ribosomal RNA (410 nucleotides) under uncultured bacterium. RNAcentral's name for it is "bacterial SSU rRNA". It matches the Rfam family "Bacterial small subunit ribosomal RNA", at positions 358 to 789 of the family's 1533-position model. The record is from RNAcentral.
AGGAUUUGGCAUGGGCGAAAGCCUGAUGCAGCAACGCCGCGUGAGCGAUGAAGGCCUUCGGGUCGUAAAGCUCUGUCCUCAAGGAAGAUAAUGACGGUACUUGAGGAGGAAGCCCUGGCUAACUACGUGCCAGCAGCCGCGGUAAUACGUAGGGGGCUAGCGUUAUCCGGAAUUACUGGGCGUAAAGGGUGCGUAGGUGGUUUCUUAAGUCAGAGGUGAAAGGCUACGGCUCAACCGUAGUAAGCCUUUGAAACUGGGAAACUUGAGUGCAGGAGAGGAGAGUGGAAUUCCUAGUGUAGCGGUGAAAUGCGUAGAUAUUAGGAGGAACACCAGUUGCGAAGGCGGCUCUCUGGACUGUAACUGACACUGAGGCACGAAAGCGUGGGGAGCAAACAGGAUUAGAUACCCUG